AACGAACGCUGGCGGCGUGGAUAAGACAUGCAAGUCGAGCGAAAUGUCAUGGGUAGCAAUAUUCGUGGCGUUUAGCGGCGCAAGGGUGCGUAAUACGUGGGCAAUCUGCCCUAAAGCCUGGAAUAACUCCGAGAAAUCGGAGCUAAUAUCGGAUGUGGUUCUUAAGAGGCAUUCUUUUGGGAACUAAAGCUGGGGACCGCAAGGCCUGGCGCUUUUGGAUGAACCCGCGGCCUAUCAGCUAGUUGGUGAGGUAACGGCUCACCAAGGCUAAGACGGGUAGCUGGUCUGAGAGGACGACCAGCCACACUGGAACUGAGACACGGUCCAGACACCUACGGGUGGCAGCAGUCGAG
Molecule: ribosomal RNA, 353 nt
Filed under: uncultured bacterium
Lineage: Bacteria
Description: bacterial SSU rRNA
Rfam family: Bacterial small subunit ribosomal RNA
Source: RNAcentral